UAUAUUUUAGUAUAAAAUGUACAUAAGUUUUUGAUACUUAAGGGAAUAGUUUAAUUCUAUUAAAUAUAG
This 69-nucleotide transfer RNA is filed under the name Staphylinoidea sp. 1 KM-2017. RNAcentral's name for it is "tRNA-Gln". The record is from RNAcentral. Lineage: Eukaryota; Metazoa; Arthropoda; Insecta; Coleoptera.